RNAcentral lists this ribosomal RNA (253 nucleotides) under uncultured bacterium. RNAcentral describes it as "partial 16S ribosomal RNA". It matches the Rfam family "Bacterial small subunit ribosomal RNA", at positions 524 to 776 of the family's 1533-position model. The record is from RNAcentral.
UACGUAGGGUGCAAGCGUUGUCCGGAUUUAUUGGGCGUAAAGAGCUCGUAGGCGGUUUGUCGCGUCGGAUGUGAAAACCCAGGGCUCAACCCUGGGCCUGCAUUCGAUACGGGCAGGCUAGAGUAUGGCAGGGGAGACUGGAAUUCCUGGUGUAGCGGUGAAAUGCGCAGAUAUCAGGAGGAACACCGGUGGCGAAGGCGGGUCUCUGGGCCAAAACUGACGCUGAGGAGCGAAAGCGUGGGGAGCGAACAGG